UGGUUCUGUGGCAAGGGAUUUGCAUC
Molecule: non-coding RNA, 26 nt
Filed under: Homo sapiens (human)
Lineage: Eukaryota; Metazoa; Chordata; Mammalia; Primates; Hominidae
Source: RNAcentral